UACGAAGGUGGCAAGCGUUACUCGGAAUUACUAGGCGUAAAGGGCAGGUAGGUGGUCUGAUAAGUUUGUUGUGUAAGCUCCCGGCUUAACUGGGAGAGGUCAACAAAUACUGUCAGGCUUGAGUAUAGGAGAGGUUACUGGAAUUCCCGGUGUAGCGGUGAAAUGCGCAGAUAUCGGGAGGAACACCAAUGGCGAAAGCAGGUAACUGGACUAUUACUGACACUCAGCUGCGAAAGCUAGGGGAGCAAACAGG
This 253-nucleotide ribosomal RNA is filed under the name uncultured bacterium. RNAcentral's name for it is "partial 16S ribosomal RNA". It matches the Rfam family "Bacterial small subunit ribosomal RNA", at positions 524 to 776 of the family's 1533-position model. The record is from RNAcentral.